GGGCACUCUAAGGAGACUGCCGGUGACAAACCGGAGGAAGGUGGGGAUGACGUCAAGUCAUCAUGGCCCUUACGGCCUGGGCUACACACGUGCUACAAUGGUCGGUACAAAGGGUUGCCAAGCCGCGAGGUGGAGCUAAUCCCAUAAACCGAUCGUAGUCCGGAUCGCAGUCUGCAACUCGACUGCGUGAGGUCGGAAUCGCUAGUAAUCGUGAAUCAGAAUGUCGCGGUGAAUACGUUCCCGGGCCUU
Molecule: ribosomal RNA, 249 nt
Filed under: uncultured Pseudomonas sp.
Lineage: Bacteria; Pseudomonadati; Pseudomonadota; Gammaproteobacteria; Pseudomonadales; Pseudomonadaceae
Description: partial 16S ribosomal RNA
Rfam family: Bacterial small subunit ribosomal RNA
Source: RNAcentral